AAGAAAGUGGCAGAGUGGUUAUGCAGCCGGCUUGAAAUCGGCAAAUGGGGGUUCAAUUCCUUCCUUUCUGG
RNAcentral lists this transfer RNA (71 nucleotides) under Synaphobranchus kaupii (Kaup's arrowtooth eel). Its description in RNAcentral is "tRNA-Ser (UCN)". It matches the Rfam family "tRNA". From Rfam's summary of the family: Transfer RNA (tRNA) molecules are approximately 80 nucleotides in length. Their secondary structure includes four short double-helical elements and three loops (D, anti-codon, and T loops). Further hydrogen bonds mediate the characteristic L-shaped molecular structure. tRNAs have two regions of fundamental functional importance: the anti-codon, which is responsible for specific mRNA codon recognition, and the 3' end, to which the tRNAs corresponding amino acid is attached (by aminoacyl-tRNA synthetases). tRNAs cope with the degeneracy of the genetic code in two manners: having more than one tRNA (with a specific anti-codon) for a particular amino acid; and 'wobble' base-pairing, i.e. permitting non-standard base-pairing at the 3rd anti-codon position. RNAcentral also lists the same sequence under 5 other names. Lineage: Eukaryota; Metazoa; Chordata; Actinopteri; Anguilliformes; Synaphobranchidae. The record is from RNAcentral.